GAUGAACGCUGGCGGCGUGCUUAACACAUGCAAGUCGAACGAAGCAGUCGCGACAGAUUUGUUCGGAAUGAAGGUGCUCAUGACUGAGUGGCGGACGGGUGAGUAACGCGUGGGUAACCUGCCUUGUAGUGGGGGAUAGCAGCUGGAGACGGCUGGUAAUACCGCAUAAGGGCACAAGGUUGCAUGACACGGUGGGAAAACCACCGGUGGGAUAGGAUGGACGCGCUUCGGCUUAGCCAGUUGGUGGGAUAAAAGCCUACCAAGGCGACGAUCGGUAGCCGAGCGGGGAGGCGGACCCGCCACGUUGGAGCUACGGCCCAGCCCCGACUGCUACGCAAGGCAGCAGAGGGUAAUAUUGCACGAUGGAGCAAACUCUGAUGCAGCCGCGCCGCGUAAGUGAAGAAGUAGUUCGUUAUGUGCUGCUCUAUCAGCAGAGGAGAUAGUGACGGUACCUGACUAAGAAGCACCGGCUAACUACGUG
This 481-nucleotide ribosomal RNA is filed under the name uncultured bacterium. RNAcentral describes it as "partial 16S ribosomal RNA". It matches the Rfam family "Bacterial small subunit ribosomal RNA", at positions 28 to 507 of the family's 1533-position model. The record is from RNAcentral.